Molecule: long non-coding RNA, 1968 nt
Organism: Macadamia integrifolia
Lineage: Eukaryota; Viridiplantae; Streptophyta; Magnoliopsida; Proteales; Proteaceae
Exons: 2
Source: RefSeq, a predicted model, not a curated record
CAAGCAAAGGAUCCUAGAUGAAAUACAGAUUGGAUUCAUAGGAAACAAAAUAAAUACUCCAAAAAGCCCACCAGUACAACCAACAUGGCAAACACAACAAUAAAGAAGAUAGAAAACCACAGUUCCAGAUGAAAGACUAUCAAGUACUCUAAGGGGCAAAUAAAGGAAGGUACUCUAAGGAAAUAUAUAUGAACCACUUGAAAGCCAUCUGUGUUUACCAGCACUGAUAUAGUGGUAUAUAUAUAUCGUAUUAUUAUUAUAUAAGCGCAUGUACUCAUGAUUCAUCGCUAAUCUUUCACUUGACUAUUUUAUCCUUCAUACUUAUUUAAAUUGUCUUUCUCUUUUCUUAUCAUUUUUUAUUUCUCCCAAAUCGUUGGUACCCUUUUUUUUUUUUGGUUUAUCUUCAAUUUUUAUUUGCUAGAGAAAAUCUUCUCUUUCCUUUUCUUUCCCUUAUUCUCUCCUUGCCCAUGAUCUGAAUUUUUUUGGUAAAUACUCUUUAUUUUAUUUUUUGUUAGAUUCGGUAAAUAAUCCAUGGUAGAGAAUAGGGGGUGAGAUGGUUUUUUCUUUAUUUGGUAAACUCAUAUUUGUUUUACCAAAAAAUAAAUAAAUAAAAUAAAAACUCAUAUUCUACCAAAAAAGUACCAUAUGUCUUCAUUCUCUUUCUUUUUUAAUCUUAAAUAAUUGAAGAAUAUAUCGUAGCCUCCAUCCAAGCAAACAACUUUGGAUUGCCGUUAACAAGGUUAUUCUUAUUUACAGGUUUUGUGCUCUUCUAUCUAUCUAUCCAUCAUCAAAGAAUUCAUGGUAACCUCUCCUGCCAAACGGCUUCGAUUCACAAUUAAUGACCGUUGUCUUUUUUACAGGUAUGGGGUUUUACAUUCCUCUAACUCUCUCUCUUCUUCUAUCAUACUCUCUAUUUUUCUUCCGUCUCCAAAACACUUUUCUCUCCCUUAUUACUCUCACAGUAAAACACAAUCCGCUGAGGAAGAGGUGGUUAUUUUCUAUUUUUUGUGUUUGAUUUUGCUUCUGUUGAAGGUUCUCUAACUUGAACCCGCAGUCAAAUAAAUCACUUGGAGAAGUUGUAUUCGAAGUUGUAAUCUAACUUUACAAAGUGUGCGUUCAAAACUAGAUCAGCCUUACUCUCUUUUUCUUUUUUUUGUGUGCAGGCGACAAGUAUCCAGGCCUUCGACCUGACUAGUCCCACAGGCCCCUACUGACCCUCAACCGGAUGGACCGGGUCAUACCAAGGUUGAAUGAGAACCAUUCACUGAUCAGCCUUACUUCAUAAUCUGCUUUGUUUUUGUUUUUGCUUUUUUUGGUUUCCCUUCCUCUUAUCCUUUAUAUCUGAAACCCUUGUUCAGCUGAUCUUUAGGGAGAAGAGGCAGUCCCAAAGAAAGUAGACUUCCUUUUGUGUUUCGCAUCCAUGGGGGCUUGCUUGAGACCUUGAAUCAAGGCAGAGAGUCCAUCUCACACAGGGGUGAACUCAAAGUAUGUUAGCAAAGAUGGAACUGAACUAAGUGGUGCAAAUAGCAAGGUUUCCUCGGUUUCCAUGCCUCUAACCCCUCGGAGUGAGGGUGAGAUUUUGGAGUCCACUAAUUUAAAGAGCUUUAGCUUUAGCAAACUCAAAAUGUCCACCAGAAACUUCUGACCUGAUAGUGUCUUGGGAGAAGGGGGCUUCAGUUUGGUCUUUAAGAGCUGGAUCGAUGAACAUGCAUUUACAGCUACCAAACCUGGCACUGGCAUGGAUAUCACUGUUAAAAAGGCUCAACCAAGAAAGUUUCCAGGGCCACAGAGAAUGGUUGAUGCAUUUCUUGAUACUGAUGUUCUUUUGGUUUCUCUGAAAUCUUAUUAGUUUGUUUCCAUUAUCAUAAAAACAUAUUUCUUUCCUUUCUUCAACUCCAUCACUUCCCUUUUUUGACAAAUUUCUUCCCGUGAUGGGUGUAGAGGAACUUAAAUAAUUUCUUCUCUGGA